CGCGUAGGCGGUUAUAUAAGUCGGAUGUGAAAGCCCCGGGCUCAACCUGGGAACUGCAUUCGAUACUGUAUAACUAGAGUUUGGUAGAGGGAAGUGGAAUUCCACAUGUAGCGGUGAAAUGCGUAGAUAUGUGGAGGAACACCAGUGGCGAAGGCGACUUCCUGGACCAAAACUGACGCUGAGGUGCGAAAGCGUGGGUAGCAAACA
This 207-nucleotide ribosomal RNA is filed under the name uncultured bacterium. RNAcentral's name for it is "partial 16S ribosomal RNA". It matches the Rfam family "Bacterial small subunit ribosomal RNA", at positions 568 to 774 of the family's 1533-position model. The record is from RNAcentral.